RNAcentral lists this ribosomal RNA (253 nucleotides) under uncultured bacterium. RNAcentral describes it as "partial 16S ribosomal RNA". It matches the Rfam family "Bacterial small subunit ribosomal RNA", at positions 524 to 777 of the family's 1533-position model. The record is from RNAcentral.
UACGAAGGGUGCAAACGUUGCUCGGAAUUAUUGGGCGUAAAGCGCACGUAGGCGGCUUUUCAAGUCCCAUGUGAAAGCCCACGACUUAACCGUGGAAGUGCAUGGGAAACUGGAAGCUUGAGUACUUAAGAGGAUCGCGGAAUUCCCGGUGUAGAGGUGAAAUUCGUAGAUAUCGGGAGGAACACCAGUGGCGAAGGCGGCGAUCUGGGAAGAUACUGACGCUGAGGUGCGAAAGCGUGGGGAGCAAACAGGG